UUUCUCUGUGUGCUGGCCAUCUGCCUGUUUAUUCUCAGGUCCCAUUUCUGCCUGUCUCUGCCUGGGACACCAAAAUCUGCAUUUCCCAUAUUCUCUUGCAUGGUGGCUUUUGCUUAGGCUUUGUUGACAGGGAGAUCUGGGAAGGCAAAAGGAAGGGAUUUCCUGUUUUCAGGUCCCAUAUUUCUUCACAGUGUCCUUCCAGCAGCAGAGGACAGCUAGACCUCCAGCAUCAUUUGGCAGUUUCCCCCUCUUUGUUGAUCUCAGGCCUCUUCCUUGAUCCCAGGCCCAGAGCUUACCAGCCACUCCCAAUCUCAGCAUCAGCCAAGUGGCACCCCAUCGGACCUCAGCUUCAGUCAUACAGAGUCCACUCAGCAUUCUCAUCACCAGCCACCAGUACUCCUCAGACGUCAUGGCUCAUGGCCCAGCACCCUGGAGGUCACAGCACAAGCCGUGCAGUGCCUGUUCUCUGACUCCAACAUCAGCCUUCAUAGUCCCUUCUCGCUGAUUCCAGCAUGGGCUGGAACGACCACAUGAAUAAGUUCUGAACAAUAGGAUGUGACAAGAAGCACUGUUGUGGAUCACUUCUCAAAAUGAAUUUACUUGUUCUGUGUGUCUUCUUCCCCUCUCUUGAGGAUUGGCAUGGGAGUAUGAUGGGGAAGAGUCAUCUUUGCUCAUAAAGACAAUGGGGGAUGAUGAAGCAAUAGAAAGAAGAAACUGGGUUCCUGGUGACUUUGUUGAGCACAGCCACCCUUCCCAUCCAGACAGCCCAACAGCUCCACUCCUCCUUCCAGCAACCCUUGCAUAAAAAUAUCCACUCACCAACUGUUCACCAACUGUUCUUCCUCUUGCUGGCAUACCUUAUGCAGCAUCCUCAGAUGCCAGAGCGCGUUUCUGCUGCAGCCUCCACGAUGCCUGGGCUGAUAGCAAUCAGGUCCUGCUAUGGAAAACACUGGUCGGUUACUAAUGGAGAAGAAGAAAAAGCAGCAAAGACAACGAGUAUACUUGGGAUGCGAUCGCAUGCCUGGAGCAUCUGGUGGGCAGGAUUCACUCGUCCUUUCCUUUUUGAGAUUGCAAUUAAGUAGAUAAUAUGAGAGAGAACUGACAAUUGGGUUGUCCCUACUGAGCUUGGGGCCAGGUGUGUACUUAGGAACCCAAUCCCACCCAGAAGAGACUCAUCUAUGUUAACACUAAGGAUGCCCUGGAGGAGGUCCUGACCACAUACAUGCGGCCAUUGGUUGAUUUCAGCUUUGCAAGCAGCGUAGUGAGAAAACCAAAAGCUUGUCCUAUCCAGACUGAGCUUGCCAGGGAAGCAGAGGCCUGAGGUUACUUAACGAGAGGCAGGCUGCCAGAGUGGAGACACAGGGCAUGUACAAUCAUACAAACCUGCAUACCAAUUCUGCCCCCCCACUCACUCUGUGGCUGUGUCACCCUGGCAAGUGACUUAACCUCUCUGAUCUUCUUUUCCUCACCUAUAAAAUGGGGAAAAUGAAAUGUAUCUCAGAUUGGGGAUUCGAAGGUUUCAAAUGACCAUUUAGGUAAACUUCCUGGAACAUAGUAUGUGUUCAGGAACCUUGAGUUCCCUCCCCUUGGGAGAAGACCCCUCACACUGAGCUGGGGAGCAGGAUCCUGGUCACUGAGACUUCUUUUCUGCACAAACUUCAUCUUGGCCUCUAAUGAGAUGGAAUCCCCCAGGGCCUGUUGCCUCCUGUUAUUGCAAUUUAAGCACAGCCAGUGCUGACUGGGCUGUUAGACUCCAAAGGUUCCCUGGUAGAAAAUUUGAGGGGUGUGGGAUGGCAAGGGAUUGAGAGAGAGGGGUGGGGACUUCAGAUAGCCAGUAUUCCUUAGCCUUCCAAUUCCUUAACAGCCAAAUUACCCUAGAGCCUCUUUAUGAAGCUAAAGAAAUACAAAUACUAUUUUCAAAUCAGCAGGCAUUCCCAAUGUUGGCUUUUGCUGAGGGUAGCUAAGAGGCAAAGCAUACCUAGAUCCUAGGCCAGACCUCAACAGCCUUAGUUCUGGCUCCUUCUGUUUCCAUAUUUCUCAAGAACCUGGUUUUCUCUGCUGGAAGAAGCAUUUUCAGAGGUCAUCUGAAGUCUACAGCCCUCCCCUCUGCGAGGAGAGCACAGACUUGAAGUCAAGUGGGCCUGGGCUCCAAAUCUUAGUUCUGCCACUUACUAGCUAUGUGGCCUUGGACAAGUUACUUAACUCCCCCAUGCCUCAGUUUCUCUGGAUACCAAAUGGGGAUAAUGAUGCUAAUACCUCAUAGAGUAGGCAUGAGGGUUAUAUGAGUAAAGUGCUGAGAAAGGAGCCUGAUAGGUAAUUACCUGAUCCCCCUCCUCUCGCUAGAGCCCCCACACCCUGGUGAUACUCACCACUAUGCCUUCACUUUAUAAUCAACAGAAACACUUCAACACCCAUCCCAGAAAACACAUGAAAUACUCACAUUACACAAAGAUCAAAUGAGUGGGGAUGAUUAAACCUAUUUUCCUUUUGAUUCAAACAAGUGGAGUGCUCUGUCCUUGGCCACACAGUUUAAAGAAUGAAGCCAGGACUACAUGCCAAACAGCAUGACUCCUAGGGUAAAGUUCUUCCCACCCCAUGAAGAUGCCCUCACCCCUCAAUUUCUCCUGACUGUUUCUUUAAAUAGAAAGGUUUUGAUGGAAACACUAGUGACGUAUAUGAAUUUUGAAGCAGAUAUCCAUUUUUAAUAUAGGAAGGAAGACAUUAAGAUGUCAAACUUGGGGCUGCUAAAUGAACAUCUGUAGCCCAAACAUGGGGCACCAGGGCUGGGAGGCUCAGAGAAGUAAUUGCCACAAAAAAGAUGCACCAGGACAUUGAUUUCUUCUGCCUGUUUGCUUGAUUUCCACUUUGAGCUUACUCAAUUGGCUAUUCCUCUGUUUUGCCACCUCAAGAACAUGACCCCAGCUCAUUUGAAUGAAAAUAUGUUUGCCAUUACCUCAUUAAUUUCUGAGACUUUGCAUUAUUUUUUACACCCACCUCCUUUCUUUUCUUCUCCCUCAAAAUUCAGAGUAUUGGUUGGAAAGAGGUAAAUCAGGCACCAUUUCUCCAUGAUGUGUCAGGACCUGAAUCUGUCAUUUGCGAGCCUGACCUCAUAACUCAGCCAAGCCAAGCUGCAAGGCACCCUGGGAACCCAUCACUGAAAGACUGCAGAGGGAGGAAGGCAAGGGCAGGAAUAGCCAGCUGGUCAAGCAGCAGAGUGUCUCCUCAGCUCCCAGGAAAUGGUGUCUAAGGGUGAUGAUGAACUGGGACUUCAUCUGAGUCCAAAAUAAUGAUGCUGCUGAUGCAACAGCAGAACUUAUUAAACACUUACUACUGCAUAUGCCACUAUGAGGUAGACUUACAGAGAAUAAGUUACUCUCCCAUAAUCACACAGCCAGUAAAUGACAGAAAUGGGAUCCAAUCCAAAUAUGUUUCAUUCUAAAGCCCAUGCUCUUCACCAACAAAGCCCAACUUGAUUUAAUUUAUCCCCAAACAUACCAACAUCCAUUUGUUAGUUCCCUUCCCAAUUUAACUUUAAGCGUCUCACAUACAUACACUGUUUUUAUCCUAACAACAAGUUGGUGAGGAACUGAGCUCAGAGAGGUUAAUCCACCCACUGAAAGGCACCCAGUGUUUAAGAGCAGAGGGAGGGGCCUGACACAGGUCUUUCGGAGCAUGACAUGCAUGUUCUGUCCACAAGGCCUGUUGCUGCCUUUCCCCCAGAGGUCCAGACUGAGGACGGGACAGAGUAGAUAAAGACAGCAGUGUGAGAGGAGGCAGUGGGCAAUAUGGGGAAUCUAGGGGCAGCAGUAUGCUGGUCCCAUAUAAUCAGGCCCGGGGGAGGGGCCCAGACAGAGGGUGGCAGACUCUCUGUACUCCAGCAAGACAAUCCCAGAAGAAAUGCCAGAGAGAUCAAUGAGAAGGCCAGUCAUUUACACUGGGCACACACACAGUGUUUAGGGUACUCAGAUAGGUACCCAGGCCUCACCCCAGGCUGUUUGGACACCAGGAGUCAUAGCACUCUUCCAGGCCACAACUGCUACUUGGGGUGGGAGGAGAGGAUGAGACGUGGCAUUUGUGGAAUAAUGACUGUGGCCAAGCAGUGGGCUCUGUAUGAUGCCAUCGUCAAUUCUCACAGCAAUUCUACAACAUAGGUUUUGUUACUUCUCUCUCACGCUUUACCCUAAAUUUCUCCUGCCUACCACAGUGCUUGGCACACACAAACAGAAUAAUAAUGUGUGGAACUGACUAAUUCAUUUUCCAUUCUGCUGGUCAGGGAGAAAUUAAUAGAGGCAGAGGCUAUUAAUAAAACAUUACAUUACCUCCAA
RNAcentral lists this long non-coding RNA (4325 nucleotides) under Homo sapiens (human). Its description in RNAcentral is "HSALNT0007441". The record is from RNAcentral. Lineage: Eukaryota; Metazoa; Chordata; Mammalia; Primates; Hominidae.